AACGAACGCUGGCGGCAUGCCUAACACAUGCAAGUCGAACGAGAUCUUCGGGUCUAGUGGCGCACGGGUGCGUAACGCGUGGGAAUCUGCCCUUUGGUUCGGAAUAACAGUUGGAAACGACUGCUAAUACCGGAUGAUGACGAAAGUCCAAAGAUUUAUCGCCAGAGGAUGAGCCCGCGUAGGAGGUUAGCUAGUUGGUGUGGUAAAGGCGCACCAAGGCGACGAUCCUUAGCUGGUCUGAGAGGAUGAUCAGCCACACUGGGACUGAGACACGGCCAAGACUACUACGGGAGGCGGCAGUGGGGAAUAUUAGACCAUGGGCGCAACCCUGAUCCAGCAAUGCCGCGUGAGUGAUGUAGGCCUUAGGGUUGUAAAGCUCUUUUACCCGGGAUGAUAAUGACAGUACCGGUAGAAUAAGCUCCGGCUAACGCCGUGCCAGCAGCCGCCGUAA
This 451-nucleotide ribosomal RNA is filed under the name uncultured bacterium. Its description in RNAcentral is "partial 16S ribosomal RNA". It matches the Rfam family "Bacterial small subunit ribosomal RNA", at positions 29 to 523 of the family's 1533-position model. The record is from RNAcentral.